Molecule: non-coding RNA, 28 nt
Filed under: Rattus norvegicus (Norway rat)
Lineage: Eukaryota; Metazoa; Chordata; Mammalia; Rodentia; Muridae
Source: RNAcentral
GACUGAACUUGGUUCCUCUCUAAGAAAU